CAGGAACGUGCUAAUCCUUGUAGCCAAACAGUUGGCUCAUUGACGCGCAGCAGAACGAAACCAUGAAAGUGAGGUGAGAAAAAUACAGGAAGAUAAACGAGAGAAGAAGGAAAAGAGAAGAAAGCAAAAUGGGAGGAGGAAUGGAGACUAACAAGAAUAGGUUCAUAGAGGAGUGGAGCAGUGCUCGUGAGAAUCUCGAGUACAACUUCCGCUGGACUCGACGCAACUUCGCCCUCGUUGGCUUAUUCGGCAUCGCAGUUCCUAUCUUCAUCUACAAGGGCAUCGUCAAAGAAUUCAAUAUGCAAGAUGAAGAUGCAGGCAGGCCAUACAGGAAGUUCCUUUGACUUUCUUCUUUAAAUUGCUAGGCAAUCGAUAAUAAUUGCACCAAAAGUAAAACUGGUUUUCCAUUAGGACCCCUUUUACCAUAUCUGGGAAUUGCUUAUUUUUCUUUGUUGAUCUAUGAUGUUGUGUUUUUUGAAGUCUGCCAAUCUGCUGAGAAUUCUGUAUGGUUUGCUAUAAUCAUCUUUGAUUCA
Molecule: unclassified non-coding RNA, 533 nt
Filed under: Hevea brasiliensis (rubber tree)
Lineage: Eukaryota; Viridiplantae; Streptophyta; Magnoliopsida; Malpighiales; Euphorbiaceae
Source: RNAcentral